ACGUUAGCGGCGGACGGGUGAGUAACACGUGGGUAACCUACCUAUAAGACUGGGAUAACUUCGGGAAACCGGAGCUAAUACCGGAUAAUAUUUCGAACCGCAUGGUUCGAUAGUGAAAGANGGUUUUGCUAUCACUUAUAGAUGGACCCGCGCCGUAUUAGCUAGUUGGUAAGGUAACGGCUUACCAAGGCGACGAUACGUAGCCGACCUGAGAGGGUGAUCGGCCACACUGGAACUGAGACACGGUCCAGACUCCUACGGGAGGCAGCAGCA
RNAcentral lists this ribosomal RNA (273 nucleotides) under uncultured Staphylococcus sp. Its description in RNAcentral is "partial 16S ribosomal RNA". It matches the Rfam family "Bacterial small subunit ribosomal RNA", at positions 89 to 355 of the family's 1533-position model. Lineage: Bacteria; Bacillati; Bacillota; Bacilli; Caryophanales; Staphylococcaceae. The record is from RNAcentral.